This 588-nucleotide ribosomal RNA is filed under the name uncultured delta proteobacterium. RNAcentral's name for it is "bacterial SSU rRNA". It matches the Rfam family "Bacterial small subunit ribosomal RNA", at positions 338 to 916 of the family's 1533-position model. Lineage: Bacteria; Deltaproteobacteria. The record is from RNAcentral.
CCUACGGGAGGCAGCAGUGGGGAAUUGUUCGCAAUGGGCGAAAGCCUGACGACGCAACGCCGCGUGGAGGACGAAGGUCUUCGGGUCGUAAACUCCUGUCGAGCGGGAAGAAUAGCGCAUGGGUUAAUACCCUGUGUGCCUGACGGUACCGCGAGAGGAAGCCCCGGCUAACUCCGUGCCAGCAGCCGCGGUAAUACGGAGGGUGCAAGCGUUGUCCGGAUUUAUUGGGUUUAAAGGGUGCGUAGGCGGUUGCUUAAGUCAGUGGUGAAAGUCCUGGGCUCAACCGAGGGAUUGCCAUUGAAACUGAGCAACUUGAGUACAUUAGAGGUAUGCGGAAUUUAUGGUGUAGCGGUGAAAUGCAUAGAUACCAUAAAGAACACCGAUAGCGAAGGCAGCAUACUAUGUUGGAACAGACGCUGAGGCACGAAAGCGUGGGUAGCGAACAGGAUUAGAUACCCUGGUAGUCCACGCAGUAAGCGGUGAACACUAGGUGUAGCGGGUAUUGACCCCUGCUGUGCCGCAGCUAACGCAUUAAGUGUUCCGCCUGGGAAGUACGGCCGCAAGGCUAAAACUUAAAGGAAUUGACGG